Long non-coding RNA from Haemorhous mexicanus (house finch), 690 nucleotides. RefSeq lists it as uncharacterized. The transcript has 12 exons. The record is from RefSeq and is a predicted model, not a curated record. Lineage: Eukaryota; Metazoa; Chordata; Aves; Passeriformes; Fringillidae.
CACGUCCGCACCACGUGACCUGUGCUAUAUAAUGCACGGCGUGGAGCUGUUCGGCCUUUUCCGCUCUCGCGGCUUUGAGGGUCCCGUAUUCCUCAGGCGGCCCCGUCGUUCAAUAUGUAUCAGCUACACUCUUCCUUCCUGUGGCUUCAGUGCAGAUAUGCCCCCAAAUGUGGAGACCUAAUACUACUCCUUCCCAAGGAUUUGAAUCCUGCACUUCAGAGGGAUGCAGAAGGAACAUCAUCAUCUGGCACUGGGACAUUAAACUAUAAGCUGUUAUGAGGCUGCCCUUGACAGAUAAGCCCCAUGCCUCUUAAAUGAGAAACUGUUUCACCUGUUACUGAUGUUGGUGAAGACAAGGCCUUCCUAAUGAAAGGCUUCCAAAUGUUUCUCAUUGUGAGGUGUGAUGGAGCUGGGAAGUGAUGGACCUGGUAGUGCUGCCAGCAGAAGGUGAAGCUUGCAUGGAGUUUAAAAAACAAGAUGAAUGUGCCUGAGGAAGGGACUGCGGUGUCUGCAGCCUCACUGGGUGAAGAGGCAGCUUUGAAACUAGCACAUGACUAAUUGAGAAGGUGGAAGAUUGCUGAUGAAUGAGUUACACUUGCAUGAACAGCAUUAAAAAAGCCAAUCUGUUUUUACCUCGCUGGUAAUGUUUGCCUGAUGUUGAUUGGAGUGAAUAAAAAUCUGUAAACUGUA